UUGGAGGUAAACUAAUUAAGUUGCGAGAUUCAUAAUCUUGAAAUGGGGCUUUAACCCCCCUUCGUUCC
RNAcentral lists this transfer RNA (68 nucleotides) under Vasticardium flavum. RNAcentral's name for it is "tRNA-Met". The record is from RNAcentral. Lineage: Eukaryota; Metazoa; Mollusca; Bivalvia; Cardiida; Cardiidae.